UAAUUAUUGUGAUUGAAAUGUUGGGUC
RNAcentral lists this non-coding RNA (27 nucleotides) under Mus musculus (house mouse). Lineage: Eukaryota; Metazoa; Chordata; Mammalia; Rodentia; Muridae. The record is from RNAcentral.